ACAGGCGGUUAAAAUAGUAGAGCAGUAGCUUCCAGGUUCGUUUUAUGCCGACGACAUUGUGUUGCUAGCUAACAAGCGGAGUGUUAUGCAACGCCUGGAGAAUAUAUGUGCACAUGAAGGUAAGAAUUUAACAUUUGAAAUUUAGCGUUAGGAAAUCAGCUUUUAUGGUAAACAGUACUCAAUGAAAACAGUGAACAGACAGUAUCAAUACAGGGCCAGGAAAUACCUCGAGUAAAAGAACACAAAUACCUCAGUAUACACUUAAAAAAAAUCCACGCUUAAUCUCACGCUAAACUGUGAGUUUUAGCGUGACGCGCAUGUAAAUGAGGGGCGGACAAAGACAAUUGCACACGGUAAUAACAGGUGUACAAUAAUGAACAAGUACAAAGGGAAACAAAACAAGAUUAUACAAUAUUUAUGCAAUACUCCCAAAAAAGAAAACAGAACCUACAUGCUAACGUGCAUAGCACCCAAAGUACUGUUCGACUCACUGAAGAGGUCAAAAUUAUUGUUUACAUAAGCUAUAUACAUAUUCGUAUAGAGCUACCAAUCCCUCCAAAAUAUUACACAGACGCACGCACGCACGCACGUGCACAGCACACACGCCAAAAGGAAACGGCGACGCGCUCACAGGAAGCGCCUGACAAAAAAAAAAAGGAAAAGUGUGGGGAACCGAGGUCGUUUGCGCUGUCGCAUCUCCCUCUCCCAGAAGGAAUGAAGAGGUUCUUGGAAAGCAGGGACGGGCGAUUCUCUCUGUCAGCAUCAGCUCCCACCAGCGAGGACGGGGCGAGAAAGCGAAGCGGGACUUUCCUUGCUGUCUAUUUUUUCUUCGUCACGCUCAACGCCGGCUGCCCGCAGGGGCGCAGGCGAGUUCCCGCCAAAUGGCGCGGGGGCGCAAGCAGUUGCGUGAGUUGCCGCCAAAUGCUAGCUCUGGAUGCCAGCUCGUUCCGCGUCUCUUGGUAGACUAGUUGGUGCAUUUCUGUUAUCAUGGACUGCGCAUAGAAACGCAAACUACACAAAAGUGACAUGGACAAAAACAGCGCAAGCCCUUUCCAUGCAGUGGAGCCGCCGUAUCUCGCCGUUCAAGAUAUGCGUACUCGAAACACUGGAACGACACUGCUUAAAUUGAAGCACAGUGUGCGAAUGACCUGCUACGCUCGGAACUGUCGCCACCAUUCGGGAAGAAAUCAGAUGAAAAAACAAAACUGUAUAUGCCUGUACGAUAUACGUCUGGUGCAUUGCAGGUAAGAAUGGAUUGUGUGUGGCACAUCUCCGCAUGUGAACUAGAGUAGAUCUAGGAACAUCAGACAAGAAGCCGCGUAUGUGAAACCCUGCGGAUAGCCCAUAUACCACGAUAACCACGUAUUUGGAUGUCUGGUUUAGCUCUACAUGCGCUGGUUCGUGCAGGUGAACUUUUUUUCGAGAUACGGAGGAACGGACAUCGGUCAUGCCGUGCGCACUCUUCUGCAGGGCAUACUUACAAAUGAAGCUGCACUGCAGUUCAGCUGGAAAGGGUCGCAGGGGAGGAAGCACGCCUUCGUGAAGCUCCCGGCCAUCACGAAUCUCAUUCUAACAUCUGUGAGGAGCACCUUCCCAGACGCUUCACUGGCUUCAGUGGCUGGAGUCACGAAACGCUGGUUAGUCGGAGCAGCUGACAGGGAUGGAGGCCGGAACGAGAGAAGGCGUCGUGACCCCGCUUCAAGCCCACCAUGAACUAGCAUUUGAAACUUUUGUGAACGUGUGGGUGUAUACAUAUCCAAGACAAAUACAAGAAAUAAAGACCUGUAUAAGAACA
This is a long non-coding RNA of Dermacentor andersoni, 1795 nucleotides long. RefSeq lists it as uncharacterized. The record is from RefSeq and is a predicted model, not a curated record. Lineage: Eukaryota; Metazoa; Arthropoda; Arachnida; Ixodida; Ixodidae.